This 402-nucleotide ribosomal RNA is filed under the name Hyalomma rufipes. Its description in RNAcentral is "partial 12S ribosomal RNA". Lineage: Eukaryota; Metazoa; Arthropoda; Arachnida; Ixodida; Ixodidae. The record is from RNAcentral.
AAACUAGGAUUAGAUACCCUAUUAUUAAGAAUAAAAAAUUGUAAGUAAAUAUUAAUUACGAAAGCAAAAAAUUAUGGCGGUAUUUUAAGCUUUUCAGAGGAAUUUGCUCUUUAAUGGAUAAAACACCUAGACCUUACUUAAAAUUAGUACUUUCGUUGUAUACCACUAUUAUAAUAAUAAUUUGUUAUUAUUAUUAAUAUUCUUUUAAAUUAGAAGAAAAUUAAGUCAAGGUGCAGCAUAAAUUUAUGAAUGAAGUGAAUUACAUUUCUUUUAAGAAAUAUUUAAAAUUAAAAUAAAACUUUAGGAUUUGAUAGUAAAAUUAAAAUAUUAAGUUAAUUUGAAUAAAGCUCUAAAAUAUGUACAUAUCGCCCGCACUCUUUUAUAAGCUAAGUCGUAACAUAG